Molecule: long non-coding RNA, 637 nt
Organism: Mizuhopecten yessoensis (Yesso scallop)
Lineage: Eukaryota; Metazoa; Mollusca; Bivalvia; Pectinida; Pectinidae
Exons: 2
Source: RefSeq, a predicted model, not a curated record
UGUACCUGAUACAGGUGAGAUAUGUACCUGAUACAGGUGAGACAUUUUCCUGGUUAACACAGGUGAGGUAUUUACCUGGUUAACACAGGUGAGAUAUGUACCUGGUUAACACAGGUGAGACAUUUACCUGGUAAACACAGGUGAGAUAUGUACCUGAUACAGGUGAGAUAUGUGCCUGAUACAGGUGAGACAUUUUCCUGGUUAACACAGGUGAGGUAUUUACCUGGUUAACACAGGUGAGGUAUUUACCUGGUUAACACAGGUGAGAUAUGUACCUGGUUAACACAGGUGAGAUAUGUACCUGGUUAACACAGGUGAGACAUUUACCUGGUGAACACAGGUGAGAUAUUUACCUGGUGAACACAGGUGAGGUAUUUAACUGGUAAACACUGGUGAAAUAUGUACCUGGUGAACACUGGUGAGGUAUUUACCUGGUUAACACAGGUGAGAUAUGUACCUGGUUAACACAGGUGGGAUGUGUACCUGAUACAGGUGAGGUAUUUACCUGGUGAACACAGGUGACAAAUGUACCAGUCACAGGUUAUAAGAUAACCGGCAAUGCUAUCAAAAUCUCUAGUCAAUGUAUUGUUUGUAACCACCUAACAAAACUCAAUAAACUGAUAAAUACAUUCGGAAA